Molecule: ribosomal RNA, 490 nt
Filed under: uncultured bacterium
Lineage: Bacteria
Description: partial 16S ribosomal RNA
Rfam family: Bacterial small subunit ribosomal RNA
Source: RNAcentral
AUUGAACGCUGGCGGCAGGCCUAACACAUGCAAGUCGAACGGUAACAGGGAGAAGCUUGCUUCUUUGCUGACGAGUGGCGGACGGGUGAGUCAUGUCUGGGAAACUGCCUGAUGGAGGGGGAUAACUACUGGAAACGGUAGCUAAUACCGCAUAACGUCGCAAGACCAAAGAGGGGGACCUUCGGGCCUCUUGCCAUCGGAUGUGCCCAGAUGGGAUUAGCUAGUAGGUGGGGUAACGGCUCACCUAGGCGACGAUCCCUAGCUGGUCUGAGAGGAUGACCAGCCACACUGGAACUGAGACACGGUCCAGACUCCUACGGGAGGCAGCAGUGGGGAAUAUUGCACAAUGGGCGCAAGCCUGAUGCAGCCAUGCCGCGUGUAUGAAGAAGGCCUUCGGGUUGUAAAGUACUUUCAGCGGGGAGGAAGGGAGUAAAGUUAAUACCUUGGCUCAUUGACGUUACCCGCAGAAGAAGCACCGGCUAACUCCGUG